AUGACGCAAGGGCCGACGUCACUCCUCCCUGUCUGGGCGCGGACGACUGCGCGAAGGCCCAGUAGUCGACGCCAGUCGCUCCACGCCACCACCGCAGAGGCCAUGGAUGGAGAAGAAGCGCACCACAGGCCCUCCUCCUCCUCCUCGUCCGGCCGCCCCUUCCUCUCCGGUCUCUGCGCCGCCGCGCUCCGCCGCAAGCCCAUCUCCGCGCGCGCCUCUGCCGCCGCCUCCGGCGAGGGCCUCGUCCGGCAGCUCGGCGUCCUCGAGCUCGUGCUCCUCGGGAUCGGCGCGUCCAUCGGCGCCGGCAUCUUCGUCAUCACCGGAACCGUCGCCCGCGACGCCGGCCCAGGUGUUACAAUCAGUUUUGCUCUCGCUGGGGCUGCGUGUGUGCUCAAUGCAUUGUGCUAUGCUGAGCUGGCAUCUCGUUUUCCUGCCGUGGUCGGCGGAGCAUACUUGUACACAUAUGCAGCGUUUAAUGAACUCACGGCCUUCUUGGUUUUCACUCAGUUGAUGCUUGAUUACCAUAUUGGGGCAGCAAGCAUUGCUCGUAGCUUAGCAAGCUAUUUUAUCCAAUUCUUGGAGCUGAUUCCGUCUGUGAAAGGCAAUGUUCCGAGUUGGAUUGGGCAUGGAGAAGAGUUUUUUGGUGGUGUUGUUUCAGUUAACAUAUUGGCUCCAAUCCUUCUUCUCAUCCUGACUGUGAUCCUAUGCCGCGGUGUCAAAGAAUCAUCUGCAGUGAAUACCUUUAUGACUACAUUGAAGAUAAUCAUCGUCAUAGUCGUUGUAUUUGCUGGUGUGUUUGAGGUGGAUGUGUCAAACUGGUCACCAUUUAUGCCGAAUGGUUUCAAAGCUGUUGUAACCGGAUCUACAGUAGUCUUCUUUGCAUAUGUUGGAUUUGAUGCAGUUGCUAAUUCUGCCGAGGAAGCUAAAAACCCACAGCGGGACUUGCCUAUUGGCAUCCUAGGAAGCCUUCUGGCAUGUGUCAUCCUAUAUGUUGCUGUAUGCUUGGUGAUUACUGGAAUGUUGCCAUAUACAUUACUGGGUGAAGAUGCGCCCUUGGCUGAGGCUUUUUCUGCAAAGGGGCUGAAAUUUGUAACUGUUUUGAUCAGCAUUGGAGCUGUUGCUGGUCUUACUACAACACUUCUUGUUGGUCUGUAUGUUCAGUCACGUUUGUAUCUUGGACUUGGAAGGGACGGCCUACUACCUUCAAUAUUUUCUAAAGUUCAUCCAACACUGCAUACUCCUCUGCACUCUCAGAUCUGGGUUGGUUGUGUUGCGGCAGUCUUAGCUGGCCUCUUUAAUGUGCAUGCACUCUCUCAUAUUCUCUCAGUUGGCACACUGACAGGCUACUCGGUUGUAUCAGCUUGUGUGAUCACACUUCGAUGGAGCGACAAAGCAACUAAUUCUCGCUCCCUUGGAAAAAUUUCAAUCUGGCAGGAGGGUGUUUUUUGUCUUGUCAUAGUGGCUCUCUGUGGUUUCAUAGCAGGAAUAUCCUACCGAUUUAGCUAUUCUAUUGCCUUCAUCAUCAUAGCUUUUCUGAUAGCUACCGUCGGCAGUUUUUCUCUGCUGUAUCGACAGGUGUAUGUUCCUGUGGACCCGCCUCGCUUUUCUUGUCCUGGAGUUCCUAUGGUUCCGAUUGUCUCUGUUUUCUUCAAUAUGUUUUUGUUUGCUCAGCUACAUGAAGAAGCUUGGUAUAGAUUUGUCAUCCUUAGUCUCAUCGCUGUGGGAGUAUAUGCUGGAUAUGGUCAGUACAACGCUGUUCCAUCUACUUCGGACCACUCGUCUGUUGCAUACCAUGGAGUGCCUUCGGAAGCCCCAUGA
RNAcentral lists this ribosomal RNA (1818 nucleotides) under Triticum aestivum (bread wheat). Its description in RNAcentral is "partial small subunit ribosomal RNA". Lineage: Eukaryota; Viridiplantae; Streptophyta; Magnoliopsida; Poales; Poaceae. The record is from RNAcentral.